RNAcentral lists this ribosomal RNA (1362 nucleotides) under human gut metagenome. RNAcentral's name for it is "bacterial LSU rRNA". It matches the Rfam family "Bacterial large subunit ribosomal RNA", at positions 1326 to 2579 of the family's 2925-position model. The record is from RNAcentral.
AAUCCCGCCCGCUGGAUGACCAAGGGUUCCGGGGCCACGUUCGUCGUCCCCGGGUGAGUCGGGUCCUAAGGCGAGGCCGACAGGCGUAGUCGAAUGGAUGAACGGGCUGAUAUUCCCGUACCGGCAGCGAACCGAAACAACCGAGGCCUGGGGCGCUAACCUCCGGGUCCGUGCCGUCUCCCCUUUCGGGGGGUCGCGGCGCGGGCGCGUUGGGAUCCCCCCUCGUAGUAGGUCAGCGCAGGAGUGACGCAUCAGGGCAGCCGGCCGCGGAGGUGGUUUUCCGUGGUCAAGCGUUCGAGCCCGUCCCGCAGGCAAAUCCGCGGGGCGUCGGGGCGAGGCGUGAUGAUGGGGGCCUUACGGCCCGAAUCCGGUGAUCCGUGGUGCCGAGAAAAGCUUCGGCGUCAGGCGCGUUGCCGCCCGUACCCCAAACCGACACUGGUGGUCAGGUAGAGAAUACCAAAGCGAUCGAGCGAAUCCUGGUCAAGGAACUCGGCAAAUUGCUCCCGUGCCUUCGGCAUAAGGGAGACCCCCUGCGGUGAUGAGCGGCGGGGGGUGGCACAGGCCAGGGGGUAGCGACUGUUUACCAAAAACACAGGUGCAUGCGAAGGCGCAAGCCGCUGUAUAUGCACUGACGCCUGCCCGGUGCCGGAAGGUUAAGAGGAUCCGUCAGCCCCUUUUGGGGUGAAGCGGUGAAUUCAAGCCCCGGUAAACGGCGGUGGUAACUAUAACCAUCCUAAGGUAGCGAAAUUCCUUGUCGGGUAAGUUCCGACCUGCACGAAUGGCGUAACGACUUCCCCACUGUCUCGACCAGGAGCUCGGCGAAAUUGCAGUACGAGUAAAGAUGCUCGUUAAGCGCAGAAGGACGAAAAGACCCCGGGACCUUUACUAUACCUUGGUAUUGGCAUUCGGUGUGGAUUGUGUAGCAUAGGCGGAAGGCUUCGAAGCCACGGCGCCAGCCGCGGUGGAGCCGCAAGGUGAAAUACCGCUCUGUUCGCAUUGGAUGUCUAACCUCGAACAGUCAUCCUGUUCAGGGACAGUGCCUGGCGGGUAGUUUAACUGGGGCGGUUGCCUCCCAAAGAGUAACGGAGGCGCUCAAAGGUCCGCUCGGCCCGGUUGGCAAUCGGGUGUCGAGUGUAAUCGCACAAGCGGGCUUGACUGCGAGAACGACGGUUCGGGCAGGGACGAAAGUCGGAGAUAGUGAUCCGGUGCCGGCGCACGGGCGCGGCAUCGCUCAACGGAUAAAAGGUACCCCGGGGAUAACAGGCUGAUCAUUCCCAAGAGUCCAUAUCGACGGGAUGGUUUGGCACCUCGAUGUCGGCUCGUCGCAUCCUGGGGCUGGAGCAGGUCCCAAGGGUUCGGCUG